This 493-nucleotide ribosomal RNA is filed under the name uncultured bacterium. RNAcentral describes it as "partial 16S ribosomal RNA". It matches the Rfam family "Bacterial small subunit ribosomal RNA", at positions 30 to 523 of the family's 1533-position model. The record is from RNAcentral.
AUUGAACGCUGGCGGCAUGCUUUACACAUGCAAGUCGAACGGUAACAGGUUAAGCUGACGAGUGGCGAACGGGUGAGUAAUGCAUCGGAACGUGCCCGAUCGUGGGGGAUAACGCAGCGAAAGCUGCGCUAAUACCGCAUACGAUCUAAGGAUGAAAGCGGGGGACCGUAAGGCCUCGCGCGAUCGGAGCGGCCGAUGUCAGAUUAGGUAGUUGGUGGGGUAAAGGCCCACCAAGCCGACGAUCUGUAGCUGGUCUGAGAGGACGACCAGCCACACUGGGACUGAGACACGGCCCAGACUCCUACGGGAGGAAGCAGUGGGGAAUUUUGGACAAUGGGCGAAAGCCUGAUCCAGCAAUGCCGCGUGCAGGAAGAAGGCCUUUGGGUUGUAAACUGCUUUUGUACGGAGCGAAAAGGUCCUUUCUAAUACAAGGGGCUCAUGACGGUACCGUAAGAAUAAGCACCGGCUAACUACGUGCCAGCAGCCGCCGUAA